CGGACAAUGCCGCGGGCCCGUCCCGGACUACGACUCCCGACGGGCUCUGCGACCGCUCCGGGGCGGCCCAGCGUGCACUGCGCCGGCCAGUUUGACAGCCGGGCGCCCUACUCGGCUAGCUCUGCUCCCAGCCAGGGACGCUGGCCUUCUCGCGGCUUUCCCCCGAUGUCUCUCUUUAUUCCAGCUGCCUGAAACUCGGUCCCACGAAUGGCAGGCAGCGUCCAAAAUUCAACCCCGUAAAGCCAGCACCAGCCAAUAAAGCGCACGGAUGGAGGCCACGUGACAGCAGUGGGCCGGCCCUCCGGCUGAGCCCUGAUCUCUAUGGUUUCCGCGGCUCGCUAGAAGGAGUGCGGUCCACUGGAGGUCUCCCUACAUUCUUCCUCCAUUAUCUCACUGCCUCCGGUGGCUGCUGGGAUACCGGAGGACUCGGGUCCCGGCUCGACUCAGUCCUCCAGCCGCCCGGGGAAUACCUCUAGUUCUUCCCGGCCGCCGCCGCCUCCGCCCCGCCGCUUCCUCCUCCGCCUGCCGGCCUCCUUCGCCCCGCCCCGUCCGCGCAGCUCGUCCGGCCCGCCCGCAGGCCAGCUUCUCUCGGGAGCCUCCACCCAGGCGCAUGGCUCCAUGAAGCAAGAGGAGGAGGCAGAGCGCGAGAGAUCCCGUCCGCCCCAGCCGCGUCUGGGCCAGGAGAAAAGCAAAACCAUAUUCCUGCUGCUGUCAGUUUUGAUGCACUGAGAAAACUUCAGAGACCUAAGCUUUUUCCAGAGAAGAGAAGCUUUACUGGUGUUCCAGCCCUAAGAAACUUAAAUCCUCAGUGUGACACAACUCAGUCCUUCUACUGCAGCAGCUCUUUUAUAAAAGCCUCCCAAAGCUCCAAGAAGGAACAAAGAAUGUGACCCAGUAAGCUCACACCAUAAGUCUAUAUUGCAGAAACCUUUGUUCAACAAAACUGCAGAUGCUCUGUUGAAUCCACUGGAGAUUGUCCUGAUACUAAGGACAAGUAUGCUCAUAUGACAUUAACAGACAAGACACUUUUCAGAAAGACAGGUUGUUCUUUUGGGCCACAUCUAAGAAAUCUUUGUCUAGCCAAAAGCCACAAAUAAUUUCUCAUUUUUUGGCUUCUGGAAGAUGUACAGUUAAAUGUUAUAUUUGGGACUGUUAUCUAAUUUGAUUAAAUUGCACUCUACAAUAUGAUAUUUGAAUUGAUGAAAAAUUAGUAAAUGUUAAUAUUUUUUAAAGUAGCCAAAUCUUGCAAUUUAUAUAUAAUAGAGAAGACUAGAAAAUCCCCCAUAUUUAUUUCCUCUUACUUCGUACUACUAAAAUUUGUAUUUAGGCAUUUGGUUUCUCAGAUAAACAUUACAUUCCCCAGUAUAUGGUUCUAUCUGGCUUGGUGACGACAUGUUGAACAUUAAGAUGUGAGCAGAAGUAAUACAUACACACUCUUUUUAAUGUCUUUAAUUGAAUGGGAUAUUGGCCCAUUUUUUCUUCCAGUUUAUUACACUGAAUAUUGACAUGUUAUUUUCCAAUAUUGAGACAAUCAAUGACAAGACUUUAAGAGUAACAAUGUAAAAAUUAUAGAAGUUGUCUGAGUUUAUCAACAAUCCCCUGGAUUAGAACCCCCUACCAGUUCUAGGUCAUCUAAUAUAUAGACAUUGUGUUCAGUAGAAAUAAAUAUAUAUAUUUUUUAAUAUACUUUAAGUUCUAGGAUACAUGUGCACAACAUGCAGGUUUGUUACAUUGGUAUACACAUGCCAUGUUGGUUUGCUGCACCCAUUAACUCAUCAUUUACAUUAGUUAUUUCUCCUAAUGCUAUCCCUCCCCCUGCCCCCCACCCCCCGACAGGCCCUGGGGUGUGAUGUUCCCCACCCUGUGUCCAAGUGUUCUCAUUGCUCAAUUCCCACCUAUGGGAAUACAUUUUUAAAUCAUUUUUAAAGGUGUUAUUACAUUCUGAUUGAACAUUUUCAGAAAGAAUAAAUAAUUUAAUACAAGAAGUGGGCCACUUCAUGUAACAAAACAAACCACCACUACAGCAACAACAACAAAAAACACUAAUGAAUGUGACUUUAGCUUUGCAACAUCAUGACAGACUAGCAAGUUAAUGACAUUUGUUAUGCCAUAGAAAAUAUUUGUUGAAUUGCCACUCUAAUGACUUUAUAUCAGCCAACUCAUUAUCAACACUAGAAAAGAUGAUUAAAAAAUACUUCAGUACGUUCAUGUGUUGGCUUGUUAACAUUUUUAAGAGUCUAUAAGAGAAAAAUGCAUCCAAUCUCGGCAAAAAUAUUUUUCAAGUAUCUUGUAGGUACGUACAACUAACUACCUUGUGAACAAAAGUCACUAUAUAAUUAUAUAAUUUCUGACACUUAAAAAAGUUUAUUGUGCAAAAGAAGAUAUAUGUUCUAAUACCAAAUCCACAUAUAAAAUAAUUGACUUAUUUAAAUAAUUUAAGAUGCUCUUUUAUAUAUUUAUAUUAAAAACUUUACAGAGAAUAAAAAAGGCAUUAUACAGGCUGCUUAUGGUUUUUGAUGUUUGGAUAUACAAUACAUGUAUCAAAGAUUGUGGAAAUAAAUCAAGCAAUAUAUUCAAU
RNAcentral lists this long non-coding RNA (2578 nucleotides) under Homo sapiens (human). RNAcentral's name for it is "non-protein coding NUTM2A-AS1:1". Lineage: Eukaryota; Metazoa; Chordata; Mammalia; Primates; Hominidae. The record is from RNAcentral.